This 1207-nucleotide ribosomal RNA is filed under the name Gracilibacillus sp. Its description in RNAcentral is "bacterial SSU rRNA". It matches the Rfam family "Bacterial small subunit ribosomal RNA", at positions 277 to 1474 of the family's 1533-position model. The record is from RNAcentral. Lineage: Bacteria; Bacillati; Bacillota; Bacilli; Caryophanales; Bacillaceae.
CGUUAGGUCCGACCUUGAGAUGGGUUGAAUUCGGUCACACCUUGGACCUGAGACACGGACCACGACUCUUACCGGAGGCAGGCAGUAAGGGAUCUCGCAAUGACGAAAGUCUGACGAGCACCGCGCGUGACGAAGGAAGGGUUUUCGGGAUCGUAAAGUCUGUUGUUAGGGAAGAACAAGUACCGUUCAAAUAGGGCGGUACCUUGACGGUACCUAUCGAGGAAAGCCCCGGCUAACUACGUGCCAGCAGCCCGCGGUAAUACGUAGGGGGCAAGCGUUGUCCGGAAUUAUUGGGCGUAAAGCGCGCGUAGGCGGUUUCUUAAGUCUGAUGUGAAAUCUUGCGGCUCAACCGCAAGCGGUCAUUGGAAACUGGGGAACUUGAGUGCAGAAGAGGAGAGCGGAAUUCCACGUGUAGCGGUGAAAUGCGUAGAUAUGUGGAGGAACACCAGUGGCGAAGGCGGCUCUCUGGUCUGUAACUGACGCUGAGGUGCGAAAGCGUGGGGAGCGAACAGGAUUAGAUACCCUGGUAGUCCACGCCGUAAACGAUGAGUGCUAGGUGUUAGGGGGUUUCCGCCCCUUAGUGCUGCAGUUAACGCAAUAAGCACUCCGCCUGGGGAGUACGGCCGCAAGGCUGAAACUCAAAAGAAUUGACGGGGGCCCGCACAAGCGGUGGAGCAUGUGGUUUAAUUCGAAGCAACGCGAAGAACCUUACCAGGUCUUGACAUCUUCGGAUGUCCCUAGAGAUAGGGAGUUCCCUUCGGGGACCGAAUGACAGGUGGUGCAUGGUUGUCGUCAGCUCGUGUCGUGAGAUGUUGGGUUAAGUCCCGCAACGAGCGCAACCCUUGAUCUUAGUUGCCAGCAUUAAGUUGGGCACUCUAAGGUGACUGCCGGUGACAAACCGGAGGAAGGUGGGGAUGACGUCAAAUCAUCAUGCCCCUUAUGACCUGGGCUACACACGUGCUACAAUGGAUGGAACAAAGGGCAGCGAAGCGGCAACGCAUUAGCAAAUCCCAUAAAUCCAUUCUCAGUUCGGAUUGCAGGCUGCAACUCGCCUGUAUGAAGCCGGAAUCGCUAGUAAUCGUGGAUCAGCAUGCCACGGUGAAUACGUUCCCGGGCCUUGUACACACCGCCCGUCACACCACGAGAGUUGGCAACACCCGAAGUCGGUGGGGUAACCUUGGAGCCAGCCGCCGAAGGUGUCCAGUUG